UUGGAGGGCAAGUCUGGUGCCAGCAGCCGCGGUAAUUCCAGCUCCAAUAGCGUAUAUUAAAGUUGUUGCAGUUAAAAAGCUCGUAGUUGAAUUUCGGGGUCAGUAGGUUGGUCAUGCCACAGGUAUGUACUGGUCUCACUGAUUCCUCCUUCCUGAUGAACUGUAAUGCCAUUAAUUUGGUGUUGCAGGGAAUCUGGACUGUUACUUUGAAAAAAUUAGAGUGUUUAAAGCAGGCUAACGCCUGAAUACAUUAGCAUGGAAUAAUGAAAUAGGACGUUCGAUCCUAUUUUGUUGGUUUCUAGGAUUGACGUAAUGAUUAAUAGGGAUAGUUGGGGGCAUUGGUAUUCAAUUGUCAGAGGUGAAAUUCUUGGAUUUAUUGAAGACUAACUACUGCGAAAGCAUUUGCCAAGGAUGUUUUCAUUAAUCAAGAACGAAAGUUAGGGGAUCGAAGACGAUCAGAUACCGUCGUAGUCUUAACCAUAAACUAUGCCGACUAGGGAUCGGAUGAUGUUAAUUUUUUAAUGUCUCAUUCGGCGCCUUACGGGAAACCAAAGUGUUUGGGUUC
RNAcentral lists this ribosomal RNA (565 nucleotides) under uncultured Glomeromycotina. RNAcentral's name for it is "SSU rRNA". It matches the Rfam family "Eukaryotic small subunit ribosomal RNA", at positions 548 to 1114 of the family's 1831-position model. Lineage: Eukaryota; Fungi; Glomeromycota. The record is from RNAcentral.